AUUGAACGCUGGCGGCAGGCCUAACACAUGCAAGUCGAGCGAGCGGCGGACGGGUGGGUAAGGUAUGAGGAUCUGCGCGAUAGAGGGAGAAAACGACUGGAAACGGUGGCUAAUACCGCAAACGAUCGGAUGGAGCGAGGUGGGAUUAGCUAGUAGGGGGGGUAAAGGCUCACCUAGGCGACGAUCCCUAGCUGGUCUGAGAGGAUGAUCAGCCACACUGGGACUGAGACACGGCCCAGACGCCUACGGGAGGCAGCAGUGGGGAAUAGUCCACAAUGGGCGCAAGUCUGAUGCAGCCAUGCCGCGUGUAUGAAGAAGGCUUUAGGGUUGUAAAGUACUUUCAGCGGGGAGGCGUUACCCGCAGAAGAAGCACCGGCUAACUCCGUGCCAGCAGCCGCGGUAAUUC
RNAcentral lists this ribosomal RNA (406 nucleotides) under uncultured bacterium. RNAcentral's name for it is "partial 16S ribosomal RNA". It matches the Rfam family "Bacterial small subunit ribosomal RNA", at positions 29 to 526 of the family's 1533-position model. The record is from RNAcentral.